AGUGAACGCUGGCGGUAGGCCUAACACAUGCAAGUCGAACGGCAGCACAGUAAGAGCUUGCUCUUACGGGUGGCGAGUGGCGGACGGGUGAGGAAUACAUCGGAAUCUACUUUUUCGUGGUGGAUAACGUAGGGAAACUUACGCUAAUACCGCAUACGACCUACGGGUGAAAGCAGGGGAUCUUCGGACCUUGCGCGAUUGAAUGAGCCGAUGUCGGAUUAGCUCGUUGGCGGGGUAAAGGCCCACCAAGGCGACGAUCCGUAUCUGGUCUGAGAGAAGGAUCACCCAAACUGAAACUGAGAAAGGGCCCAGACUCGAAGGGAAGGAGCAAGUGGGAAAAAUUGAAAAAGGGGGGAAGGCUGAACCAGGCAAUACCGGUUGGGUAAGAAGGGCUUCGGGUUGUAAAGCCCUUUUGUUGGGAAAGAAAAGCAGCAGGUUAAUACCCCGCUGUUCUGACGGUACCCAAAGAAUAAGCACCGGCUAACUUCGUG
This 491-nucleotide ribosomal RNA is filed under the name uncultured bacterium. RNAcentral's name for it is "partial 16S ribosomal RNA". It matches the Rfam family "Bacterial small subunit ribosomal RNA", at positions 29 to 507 of the family's 1533-position model. The record is from RNAcentral.